This is a long non-coding RNA of Chrysemys picta bellii (western painted turtle), 1430 nucleotides long. RefSeq lists it as uncharacterized. The record is from RefSeq and is a predicted model, not a curated record. NCBI's taxonomy places the organism in Eukaryota, Metazoa, Chordata, Testudines, Emydidae.
UCACCUUGGCAACAAAGUCACCUGGCAGAGGUCUAUGAUCCCCUGAGGGGGCUGAGCAGGACAUCACCUGACAAAAGUUAUAAAAGUUUAUCACUUUAUAAAAGUUAUAAAAAGACAUGAGCUGCUUUACUCACAGUCCCAUUUUUCUCCCACUGAAGAGGAGGAAGAAACAACCCAACAAGUAGGGGCCUGAUGAGGCAGAGGACCCUGCCUAUCUUCCUGAUGGUCCCCACCACCAACCAAGGGAAGGAGGAAGGACAUCCCUCAGGAAGGCAGCAUUGGAAAGAAGUGGAGACUGUGGAUAAGGAAGGAACAUAUCCUCCGGUGGUUAUACAACUAAGUGACAGAGGGCACGAUUCUGACUCAGGCCAUGCAGCCAUAAGAAGGAACUGGAGAGGUGCCGACCCUCACUGCCACUUGCACAAGGAGCUCUACUGCGCAUGUGCGGGCCAACGGACACUGCUUUGAAGAAUUUCCAGACUCAGGCUCAGGGUGUGCACACGUGCCCAUGUGCGGAAUACAAAUAGGGACCAGCACUUGAGAAGAAACAGCCACUAUUCCUUCCUAGAGCCAUUCUUUUUUUAUGUACUCUUAUUCUCAAAGUUUAUAACUAUUUUAUUUUUCCCUAUUAGCUUAUGUUUUCAGUCGCCUAUAAUAGUGCUUUAAUCCACUAACACAAAUAAAUCAAACAAUGACAUCAAUCCAAAAUGUUAAUAGCAAAAAAAUCUUGAACUGCCUUUUCAAACCAUCCCAAACAUUUGCUGCUUGAAUAUUAUGGGGUAGAGAGUUUCAGCAAACUCAGGCUAGAAAAACUGAGAAAAUGCAAAUUGAAACAAUUAGUAAAGUAGGGUUAGUAAAGUGGGUUAAGCUUAAUUAAAUGUGCAUAGAUGUGAGCCAAAUUCCUGAAUAUAUAUAUAUAGAGGAUGUCAUUAAAAUUCAAAGGUUAAUAAUAAUAUGAUGGUAUUUGGCACUUCUGUAGCACUUUUCGUUUGAGUCUCUGAAAGCACCUUCUGAAUAUUAAUUAAACCUUGAUGCUCUGUGAGGUAGGUGAAUAAUUAUAUCUCUAUGUUAAACCUCGGUAAACUGAGGCUAUGAGACGUAAAGUGACUUACCCCAGUUCAAAUACUGAUUAUUGGUAGCACAGAUGGAGCCUAAACAAUGAAUUCACAAAAUUCAAACCCAGGCUGAUUGUGAAUGUAUUCACUUUAUGAACUAACUUCUCUCACAGAUCUUUUCUUAGAACCUAAUUCAGAAGUUGCACACAAUUGACUUUUCAGGUCUGAAUUUGGCCCUUGCAACUUGCAGAAAAAUAUUUGCAAAGACUGCAAGAUAGAGCACGGGGAAGAUGGAUAAUGUUUUGCUAGGAGAGAGACAAGGUGGGUGAGACAAUAUCUUUUAUUGGAACAACUUCAGUUCAUUAAAGAAACAAG